RNAcentral lists this ribosomal RNA (468 nucleotides) under uncultured bacterium. RNAcentral's name for it is "partial 16S ribosomal RNA". It matches the Rfam family "Bacterial small subunit ribosomal RNA", at positions 28 to 507 of the family's 1533-position model. The record is from RNAcentral.
GACGAACGCUGGCGGCGUGCUUAACACAUGCAAGUCGAACGGAAAGGCCCUGCUUUUGUGGGGUGCUCGAGUGGCGAACGGGUGAGUAACACGUGAGUAACCUGCCCUUGACUUUGGGAUAACUUCAGGAAACUGGGGCUAAUACCGGAUAGGAGCUCCUGCUGCAUGGUGGGGUUUGGAAAGUUUCGGCGGUUGGGGAUGGACUCGCGGCUUAUCAGCUUGUUGGUGGGGUAGUGGCUUACCAAGGCUUUGACGGGUAGCCGGCCUGAGAGGGUGACCGGCCACAUUGGGACUGAGAUACGGCCCAGACGGCUACGGGAGGCAGCAGUGGGGAAUAUUGCACAAUGGGCGGAAGCCUGAUGCAGCAACGCCGCGUGCGGGAUGAAGGCCUUCGGGUUGUAAACCGCUUUCGCCUGUGACGAAGCGUGAGUGACGGUAAUGUGUAAAGAAGCACCGGCUAACUACGUG